AUUUAAUGGUGAGGGCAGCUGGCACACAACCUCUUGAAUCCUUCCCAAUAUUCAUAGAGGGUCUCUCUUUCAAGCUGUCUUAUCCCACAAAUUUCCUUCCUUAUAGU
Abrus precatorius (Indian licorice) is the source of this 107-nucleotide small nucleolar RNA. The record is from RefSeq and is a predicted model, not a curated record. NCBI's taxonomy places the organism in Eukaryota, Viridiplantae, Streptophyta, Magnoliopsida, Fabales, Fabaceae.